Molecule: ribosomal RNA, 253 nt
Filed under: uncultured bacterium
Lineage: Bacteria
Description: partial 16S ribosomal RNA
Rfam family: Bacterial small subunit ribosomal RNA
Source: RNAcentral
UACGUAGGGUGCAAGCGUUGUCCGGAAUUAUUGGGCGUAAAGAGCUCGUAGGCGGUUUGUCGCGUCUGCUGUGAAAGUUCGGGGCUCAACCCCGGAACUGCAGUGGGUACGGGCAGACUAGAGUGCGGUAGAGGGGACUGGCAUUCCUGGUGUAGCGGUGGAAUGCGGAGAUAUCAGGGGGAACACCAGUGGCGAAGGCGGGUCUCUGGGCCGCAACUGACGCUGAGGAGCGAAAGCGUGGGGCGCGAACAGG